RNAcentral lists this long non-coding RNA (1380 nucleotides) under Homo sapiens (human). RNAcentral describes it as "HSALNT0110426". The record is from RNAcentral. Lineage: Eukaryota; Metazoa; Chordata; Mammalia; Primates; Hominidae.
GAAGAGGAACCUACUCUUUAAGAGCUGAAGCACGGGGGAAAACGAAUUCUUAGACCCCCUGGAAACCACUCCCCUGCUGGGCCUAAAGUCAGUUCCCUAGAGAAGGGAGCCCGGGAGACCCUCUGGGCACCCCGGCAUCUCAAGCCAGAGCUGAGGGCCCGGAAAGUGAGGGGCCGCGCCUCAGUACUGGAGGCCUAGAGUCCAUCUCCGCGAACUGGGGGCUCUCAGGGCCCGCAGAAAUCCCCCUUAGCCCUCCGAGGCCCCUGGAAGGAGUCGCCCCGGGAGAGGAAAUCACUCAGCUCUGAAAAGCGUCGCAAACGGGCGGUGGGAGAGUUCUAAAGCGGCCUUUCGCCUCUCGGAGGAGGUGAGGCCGAGCUGGGGAUGUGCGGGUUUGGGGCCCAGAACUGCACCGCAGGGCCGCAGAGGCGGGAAGCUGGCCGGAGAGGAGUGGGAAGGCGACCAAGGGCAGCAGCAGGGGCUCCUGCGGGGCGCAGGUCUGUGCUGGCGCCGGGCCUGGCCUCUGCAGGCUCGGCGGAGCCUCCCGAUUGCUCCCGCCGCACCCGCCCGCGGCCACUCACCCGGCCCCGCGGCCAGCCCGGGCGGGGUCGCACGCAAACAAGGAUGCUUCUAUUUACUCGCCUCUGCCUGUAGAUUUCUAAGACAUUCAGCAGGCACAAUCAUUAAACUAAUUUGUGUUUGAUUGUUUGGGCGGACGGAGGGUAGUUUUAUUGCGCUAAGCAUUCAAGCAGGCACGCAUCGCUGAUUACCAGUAUACAUUAAAUAAAGUUGUUUGUACACAUUGUCUUACCACAUAUAGGCAGAGGCUUAUUAUUCUAAUUACUCUAAUUAGUGCAUUGAAAUGUUUUCUACUUGAUUUGAGGAGACAGUGAUUAGUUCUAUUACUUCUUUUAACUCGUAUUUUAUGGAAAACUGUUGGUGCAUGUUCAAAUUACUUUAUUUGCCCCUGGAAUAUAACGCUGACCCAAAUGCAGUGAACUGCACGGCCCUUGUGGGGCCCCAACUUUGAUGUGGGCCUCGGCUUGGAAGAGGCGUCUGUUAUUUAUUAUUUCCCUCCCACCAGCGUAGCCUGGUCUCCCAGCGCCGUGCCCGCCGCCCCCGCCCCAUCCUGCGCCCCAGAUGCGCGCCCCGCUUGGACCAGUCCGAGCAGAGGGGGGUUCCGAAAUCUGCUCGGACGCAGCAUCGCUGGCCGCCUGCCCCGCUAGUUCCCCGAGUGCGAUUACUUUUUAAAGGCUCCUUUAAGCAUAUUUCCGUGAAUCUGUUUCUUGUGCUUUAAUGUUACUAUUAAUUGAUAAGAUCAGCUCAUCAAACAUACUAUUUCGAUAGGGAAUUGUAAUUAAAACCUUAAUCCUGUUUGAGACU